UGGCUUGCAGAGAUAUGCAGAUUUCAGUUUUUCCAUUUCUCCCUUAAUUUUGUUUUCUUUUGAUUGUUUCAUUUCCCCUUAUAUUACUCAUUAGUGGAUAGGAUGAUAUGAUUAGAGGAGGACAAUGAUGAGAGUUUUGUUCGCUCGUCGUGCGUAAUGGCAAAUUUGCCUUGCCGACCCUUCUUUUUUCUUCUGAGUCCUCUCUCCUCUUCCUCCCUAUCGACUAAUAAUUUCUAUUAGAUCAUUUUCUUUGUGAAAUGCUUAGUGGGUGCUGAUGCAACAUUUUGUGUGGCUCUGUCAUCAAAUAUCAGCUUAUUUUGGACGGAUAACUAAGGAGGUUAGAAUUAAUACAAAUCAUGUAUUGAUUGUAAAAAUUAGAAAAAUUGACUAAAAUUGAUUAAAAAAAAGUCAAAAUUCAGGUUU
This is a long non-coding RNA of Jatropha curcas, 423 nucleotides long. RefSeq lists it as uncharacterized. Lineage: Eukaryota; Viridiplantae; Streptophyta; Magnoliopsida; Malpighiales; Euphorbiaceae. The record is from RefSeq and is a predicted model, not a curated record.